This 497-nucleotide ribosomal RNA is filed under the name uncultured bacterium. Its description in RNAcentral is "partial 16S ribosomal RNA". It matches the Rfam family "Bacterial small subunit ribosomal RNA", at positions 28 to 507 of the family's 1533-position model. The record is from RNAcentral.
GAUGAACGCUGGCGGCGUGCCUAAUACAUGCAAGUCGAGCGAACAGAUGAGGAGCUUGCUCCUCUGACGUUAGCGGCGGACGGGUGAGUAACACGUGGAUAACCUACCUAUAAGACUGGGAUAACUUCGGGAAACCGGAGCUAAUACCGGAUAAUAUAUUGAACCGCAUGGUUCAAUAGUGAAAGACGGUUUUGCUGUCACUUAUAGAUGGAUCCGCGCCGCAUUAGCUAGUUGGUAAGGUAACGGCUUACCAAGGCAACGAUGCGUAGCCGACCGGAGAGGGUGAUCGGCCACCCUGGAACUGAGACACGGUCCAGACUCCUACGGGAGGCAGCAGUAGGGAAUCUUCCGCAAUGGGCGAAAGCCUGACGGAGCAACGCCGCGUGAGUGAUGAAGGUCUUCGGAUCGUAAAACUCUGUUAUUAGGGAAGAACAAAUGUGUAAGUAACUAUGCACGUCUUGACGGUACCUAAUCAGAAAGCCACGGCUAACUACGUG